UACAGAGGUCCCGAGCGUUGUUCGGAUUCACUGGGCGUAAAGGGCGCGUAGGUGGCCUGGCAAGUUUGGCGUGAAAUCUCCGGGCUUAACCCGGAAAUGGCGUUGAAUACUGUUUGGGCUGGAGGUUUGGAGGGGGGACUGGAAUUCUUGGUGUAGCAGUGAAAUGCGUAGAUAUCAAGAGGAACACCAGUGGCGAAGGCGAGUCCCUGGACAACACCUGACACUGAGGCGCGAAAGCUGGGGGAGCAAACAGG
This 254-nucleotide ribosomal RNA is filed under the name uncultured bacterium. Its description in RNAcentral is "partial 16S ribosomal RNA". It matches the Rfam family "Bacterial small subunit ribosomal RNA", at positions 524 to 776 of the family's 1533-position model. The record is from RNAcentral.